AUGCAGCGAUUUAGAUUGUUUUCUAUGGUUGAAAAUCUGUGCCUAUUCAUCUUCCACGAUACAAACCUCUUCUUCUCACUCUCAACCAAAAAACGCACCACGAAACACCGUCCAUCACCGAUGACUCUUAACGAAAGAAGAGCGAUAAAGAAAGGAAUAUUGCUUACCUACCGGAGACCGAUUCGGCGCGUCUUCUAUAACAAUGAUUAA
Vicia faba (fava bean) is the source of this 210-nucleotide non-coding RNA. NCBI's taxonomy places the organism in Eukaryota, Viridiplantae, Streptophyta, Magnoliopsida, Fabales, Fabaceae. The record is from the annotation of a GenBank genome assembly.